UGGACUGGACUACUACAGGUUGGACUAAUAUGGACUAGACUGGACUAGAGUGGACUGGAUUGAUGUGGGCUGCUUUAGGAUGGCGGGUGAUGGGAAGGGUCAUAGUUGGGUCAAAGGGACAGUGGACUGAAGCUCUAAAGCUUCAAGCAGCAAUCUCAUGACCAGUUGUUUAAAGUGUUGGUCGAAGGGGAGGAAGGAGAUGUAGUAGGAAACCAAACUAAGGGGAAGGAUGAGACAGAAACCAAUGAAGACAUUGAAGUUGUGGGGCAAGAUUGGUAACACCCUAGUCAUGGUUCUU
This 298-nucleotide long non-coding RNA is filed under the name Vigna radiata. RNAcentral's name for it is "long non-coding RNA (VRAD_LNC018334)". The record is from RNAcentral. Lineage: Eukaryota; Viridiplantae; Streptophyta; Magnoliopsida; Fabales; Fabaceae.